This 680-nucleotide ribosomal RNA is filed under the name uncultured bacterium. Its description in RNAcentral is "bacterial SSU rRNA". It matches the Rfam family "Bacterial small subunit ribosomal RNA", at positions 141 to 808 of the family's 1533-position model. The record is from RNAcentral.
GGAUAACACUUGGAAACAGGUGCUAAUACCGCAUAACCAUAGUUACCACAUGGUAACUAUGUAAAAGGUGGCUAUGCUACCGCUUUUGGAUGGGCCCGCGGCGCAUUAGCUAGUUGGUGGGGUAAAGGCUUACCAAGGCAAUGAUGCGUAGCCGAACUGAGAGGUUGAUCGGCCACAUUGGGACUGAGACACGGCCCAAACUCCUACGGGAGGCAGCAGUAGGGAAUCUUCCACAAUGGGCGAAAGCCUGAUGGAGCAACGCCGCGUGGGUGAAGAAGGUCUUCGGAUCGUAAAACCCUGUUGUUAGAGAAGAAAGUGCGUGAGAGUAACUGUUCACGUUUCGACGGUAUCUAACCAGAAAGCCACGGCUAACUACGUGCCAGCAGCCGCGGUAAUACGUAGGUGGCAAGCGUUAUCCGGAUUUAUUGGGCGUAAAGGGAACGCAGGCGGUCUUUUAAGUCUGAUGUGAAAGCCUUCGGCUUAACCGGAGUAGUGCAUUGGAAACUGGGAGACUUGAGUGCAGAAGAGGAGAGUGGAACUCCAUGUGUAGCGGUGAAAUGCGUAGAUAUAUGGAAGAACACCAGUGGCGAAAGCGGCUCUCUGGUCUGUAACUGACGCUGGGGUUCGAAAGCGUGGGUAGCAAACAGGAUUAGAUACCCUGGUAGUCCACGCCGUAAACG